This 1169-nucleotide long non-coding RNA is filed under the name Dromaius novaehollandiae (emu). RNAcentral's name for it is "lncRNA (ENSDNVG00000008327.1)". Lineage: Eukaryota; Metazoa; Chordata; Aves; Casuariiformes; Dromaiidae. The record is from RNAcentral.
GCCCACACAGGUUGUGGAGAUCUGCUGGGAACUUUUAAGGAAUUUCCAUCCUCGGAAGUUUUCAAAACUUGUCUGUACAAAGCCCUGAGCAAUCAUAACUUCAAAAUUAACCGUGCUUCAAGCAGGAAGCUGGACUAGCUGAUCUUCAGAAGCCCCUUCCAUUCCAAUUUUUUCUAGGAUUUUUGGAUGUUUCAACUCAUAACUAGAAGAAAAGAAGGCAGACCAAGCUGUCUGCAUAAACACACUCUGCAGGUCUUAACUACCUACUAAAAUACCACUGCGCACCAAGUUAACCUUUGCCAAAAGCAAAGCAUUUUUAUUUGCAACAAUGACUUGACUCCACCCUCCUGCUGAGUCCUGUCCUUUACUUCGCAGGUCCUCCUGCUGACUUCUGUGGGAGACAACAUGUUAUUCUGCAUGUGACAAAGACUGAUCCCCGCCUCUUUUCCCCACUGUCAUGCAUUCACAAUGUGGAUAAACACCACUUCCUGCCGAUCAGUCCAGCGACAAGGUAAAAGACAGGGGAAUAUAUAGCAUUCCCAGUACAAGAUGUGCAAUAAAUAGCUGAAUCUGGAAGUAAGGUCACAUUUGGAAGUCACCGAGAGAUGACUGUGCUCAAGUUACAAUCGAGUUAUGACGAAUGUUAAAGAGCUAACAGACCAGAACAAGUUUCUCAGCCCACUGCACAGCGAGCAGCAGGUUCACAGUUACCAUGUUUUACCUCACAAGUGCUGCUGGACUAAGAGCUGGGCGACAGGCGGAUGCUGCCCCAUGGCUCUUCUAAGCUGAUCUACAUGAAGGCCUUCAGUCAGCAGAAAAGUAACUCAGUAAAACAAGACCGGUUUAUGGGAACAGACUCUACUUUUUGUUUUCUGCUGGCAAAAAAAAAAGCAGCAUUAAAAGCAAAUGAGCACCAUCACGCAUUUGUUUUAAAUUGCGUAUUACAGCACUGCUAUUUUGUGUGCAAUCAAUACAUAAUUCGGAAGAAAAAUGCUUUUAAAAUUCAAAGCUAUCCCUGAGCAGCUAAGGUUCUCUUGGAAACUGAAGGAGGAGUCUGAAAUUAUUGUUCUUUUGUUUGCAACCCCCAGCGGGAAAGGCAGCACACAACUAGAAACCACUGUGCUUUGAGGCAGCAUGAAUCAGUAAGAAUAAAGAUCACCCCCCCUUCA